This 253-nucleotide ribosomal RNA is filed under the name uncultured bacterium. RNAcentral's name for it is "partial 16S ribosomal RNA". It matches the Rfam family "Bacterial small subunit ribosomal RNA", at positions 524 to 776 of the family's 1533-position model. The record is from RNAcentral.
UACGGAGGGUGCGAGCGUUGUCCGGAAUCACUGGGCGUAAAGGGCGCGUAGGCGGCCUGAUAAGUAGGGGGUGAAAUCCUGCGGCUUAACCGCAGGGCUGCCUUCUAAACUGUCAGGCUAGAGCACAGUAGAGGCAGGUGGAAUUCCCGGUGUAGCGGUGGAAUGCGUAGAGAUCGGGAGGAACAUCUGUGGCGAAGGCGGCCAUCUGGACCAGCACUGACACUGAGGCACGAAAGCGUGGGGAGCAAACGGG